CCUACGGGUGGCAGCAGUGGGGAAUAUUGGGCAAUGGGCGCAAGCCUGACCCAGCAACGCCGCGUGAAGGAAGAAGGCUUUCGGGUUGUAAACUUCUUUUCUCAGAGACGAUGCACGUGACGGUACCUGAGUAAUAAGCCACGGCUAACUACGUGCCAGCAGCCGCGGUAAUACGUAGGUGGCCAGCGUUAUCCGGAUUUACUGGGUGUAAUGGGCGUGUAGGCGGGAAAGCAAGUCAGAUGUGAAAACCAUGGGAUCAACCUGUGACCUGCAAUUGAAACUGUUAUUCUUGAGUACUGGAGAGGCAGACGGAAUUGCUAGUGUAGCGGUGAAAUGCGUAGAGAUUAGGAGGAACACCAGUGGCGAAGGCGGUCUGCUGGACAGCAACUGACGCUGAGGCGCGAAAGCGUGGGGAGCAAACAGGAUUAGAGACCCGAGUAGUC
RNAcentral lists this ribosomal RNA (443 nucleotides) under uncultured bacterium. RNAcentral's name for it is "partial 16S ribosomal RNA". It matches the Rfam family "Bacterial small subunit ribosomal RNA", at positions 338 to 795 of the family's 1533-position model. The record is from RNAcentral.